UCAAGAAAAAGUUGGGUAUUGGUUCUUGGAAUAUUAAUGAUAUAUAGAAGAAUAUCCAUGUAUAUCUUUUCAAUGAAAAAUUUUAUAAAAAAAUAGAAUUUCUGGAUUAAUCGAAUAUUUCUUCUUUUUACUAUUUGCCAAAAUUUUUUUGCUGAUUCUACUAUUUUAUCCUGAUAAAAUUUUUUUGCUAAUUCUACUAUUUUAUCCUAAUAACUUAUUUUGUUAGAACUACUAUUUAUUUCUUGAGUUAGAAAUUCAUUUUUCUUCUAUUUUAUAAUUAGAAUUUUUUGUAUUUGAUUUCUGAUUGUGUUUGUUCUCUUAGUCAGAUCUU
RNAcentral lists this long non-coding RNA (331 nucleotides) under Gossypium barbadense (sea-island cotton). RNAcentral describes it as "long non-coding RNA (GBAR_LNC017101)". Lineage: Eukaryota; Viridiplantae; Streptophyta; Magnoliopsida; Malvales; Malvaceae. The record is from RNAcentral.